CAGAACUUCCCUAGCCAGCAACCCCUACUUCACACCUAACUGAGCGAGCUCCCCGGUUGUGGCCCGGGAUGACAAUACCCGCGUAGCACUGAGCAGUGUCUGUGUUACACACUGAGAUGGUGGGCAGGUUAACAUAAGGUGCCCCUGUGCGAAGCUGGCGGUCAGCCGUGGGAUCAGUACUCCCGGAAGACACGACUCCCGGAAGACACGGCUGCCGGAGCUGCCUGGAUCCCAUCAGGGAAGCUUCCAGGAGUGCUGUGGCCAACAGUAGUAGUGGCUCCAAUGACAGCAGCAGUGAACUUCAGCACAACUCACUGGCCAGUAUUCUGGAGGAUGUGACACUGAUGUCAGCCAGAUUUUCAGUGGAGACAAUGGCACAAGAUGCCAACAGAAGCUUCUCCCAGGUUCUCUUCAGAUAUUUGAGCAUAUUUCCAGACCUCUUCAGGGAGAGGGCGUUUGACUCUGCUGAUGGGAACUUUGGCAGUUCUGUUUCUGAAGGCUGCAAAAAUGACGCGUGCUGGAUUCAGAAUAGGCAGAAGGUAAGCGGCCACGAGUGACCUUGGAAACCUGAAGAGCCACUAAAGUCCUCUGAAACUUCUGUGUACAAGUUUAUGCCUCUGUGUACAGACUGGACCCCAGCCCGUUCACUGCGUGAGAGUGAGCAGAUUGGUGAAGCGUCUGCGAGCCGAUCAGUGAUUUCAGCUAAUCAGGGAACAGUUUGCAACAACCCCAUCCUUCUAACUUCCUGGCCUCUCCUGCUGUCGUGUAGACAGUUUUUGCUGCAGAUAAGGUGGACAUUAGGCAGUACAUCAAAUGUGUCUUCUUGGAUGCCAUUUCCAGCUGGGCUCUGCUGCUUAUUCUCAGUCUGCCCAAGCCUCCUGCCUCCAGUCCAUCCUCCACCUCUCUUUGCUGCUCUGGGACUGUGUAAACCACACUCCACUUGUCCUCUGGCUCUUGGCUGAGUUUUGCUAGUAAGAAGCACUGUUUCUCAGAAACAUAUCCAAGCCUCAGUUUCUUCAUCUGUAAAAUGGAGACAAUACCAGUACCUACUUCAAGGACUGCUGAGAUGAUUUAAUAAACUAGUGAACGACUGGCACUAUAAAUAUGCUAAAGAAAGUUCUUCAGAAAUGACACUAAAGGGAAAAGAGAUCUACAGGAAGAAAUGAAUGGAACUGGAUAUGGUAAAUGCAUGGGUUCCCAUUAUUGUCUUGUGCUGAGCAGUGGAUCACAUUACCCCACAGGUUAUGAAAAGGCCACGCUGACUAACUGAGAAUUCAUAUCAAUGGUUCCUUCUGCUACUUGGAAGUAUUUGCAUGACCCACGGGGUUGAGGGGUGCUUGCCCCGGCUGUAGCCUUUCCUGAUAGUUUUCUAUGGGAAAAAUAAAUAUUUCUUUCUUUUUUUUUUUUUUGCUUGCUAUUACCAAUUUGAAAAUAAAUACUUCUUGAUCAUAUUUAAACCACUAUGCAAAUAUCGCUUUAAGACAAAUUUCACAGCUCUUCUUCCUACCACAUUUCCCCCAGCCCAGAAACUCAUUUAAAGAAAUGCUAUAGCUGUUCCUACUGGGUGACAAUAAUUAAAUGGGGAAACAAGAUGUUAAUGACAAUGCAAGAGGAAAGCAGCACUUCUAUGUUCCAUGGUUUAUGCUAAGUCCUUUCACGUGAAAUAGUAACAGUAACACCAAUACUUGAACAAACUUACUGGAAUCCAGCAUUAUUUCAAGCACUUUCUGUAUAUCAACUCCUUACCUCAUAGCUAUUGUUAUCUCCGUUGCACAGAUAAAGAAACUGAGUGAAGUACGUUGCCUGGCUCAGGUUCUAUUCUCUCAACUACUAUCUUGGACUGCCUCUCAGAAUGUUAUUGGAUCUUAUUGGCCACUUAAGAUAAUUUUUUGAUAAAGGUAUUAUUAUUCCCAUUUACAGAUUGUUAAACUGAGGCUGAGGGAGACUGAAUGGUUUGGUUAGGUUUAUAACUUGUAAGUUGGACCUAAGAUCAUCUGAGUCAAAAGCCUGUGCUCACUCUUUUAGAUAGAAGUAAACAGAAUAAUUACUUCCAUAAACUAGCUUAGCAACAAUAUAUUAUUGUCUCCUUAGUUUGUACUUUACGUGUAACAGAAUUUUAAAAUAUUAUAAAUUAGAAAACUCUAAAACAUAUAGGUGUGUAUUAAAUUGUAUUUAUCAACGUGAUUCAUUAGAGAGAAUCGGUGGUUUGUUUUCGUUCAGCUCAGUGUAACCAGUGUGGGACUAUAAUCACUGUACUUGCUUUGUUUUUUCUGAAGUAAACAAAUUAAUAAUAUGAUGCACUUUUUGGUGCCAUAUAUAGCUUUUCAGUGGCAAAUUAGUUUAAAAAUUCAAUAUAUGAGAAAAAUGGAAUCUAAAAAUAGUUUAUUUUUACACAAAGAGAAAACAAAAUUCCUCCCGGCAUAAUGACUUCUCAGAGAAAAAUAUCCUAUAAUUACUUCGAUGGAAGCAUUCGCCCUUGGAAAUAAACUCAAAUGGGAAAAAUGUAGAAGUAGUUGGAGUUGUAUAACCACAUUAGAUAGAAUGGAAGUCAAAUUUGAAGGGUCAUUUACAGGCUUUAACACUUGGUGGCCUUGGCUCUGCCAAAUGCAUCCACACUCAGGAGAUUCAGUCCUCCCAGAUGUUCAAGACAUGCUGAUUGCUAUAUUGAUCAUUUAAUGCUGUCUAUUCAUAUGAUUUAUAUUACCCUAUGAAAUACAAUGUUGGGUAUAUUUAUAUUUAAAGUCUACAAUCUUUGUU
Molecule: long non-coding RNA, 2757 nt
Organism: Equus caballus (horse)
Lineage: Eukaryota; Metazoa; Chordata; Mammalia; Perissodactyla; Equidae
Source: Ensembl